AACGAACUGAUACAUAUUUCUCCAAA
This 26-nucleotide non-coding RNA is filed under the name Cricetulus griseus (Chinese hamster). The record is from RNAcentral. Lineage: Eukaryota; Metazoa; Chordata; Mammalia; Rodentia; Cricetidae.